CUGUUGUUCCAUGGCUUGCUAGCUGCCUCCACGGAGUUGGUACUGUGAUUGGUUGGGGUUCACUUGUUCUUACACUAAUCUUCAGGCCUAAUGUGGGAAUCUAUGUGUAUUUUGCUCAUUUGUCUGGAGCAGUCUGCAUUUUCUGUACUAUUAUGCUUCUCAGGCUCGUGGCUAUUGACAUGGGAUGUAUGUAUGCACUAUGUGCACUGUCUAUAGGUUUGUCCAGGCGAGACGGUCAUCUUGGAGUUCUUAUGUGGAUUGCUCUGGCAUUUUGCAUUUUUCUUGUGGUUAUCAGGGCCAUUUUGGAGAGUAGAGCUGUUGCUGCUGCUGCUUCUGCUGCUGCUGCAGGGGAGCAGGGUGAGCACCCGCCGGAGCCUUGAGACUAUUUUUUUUGAAACUCCACCAUGAGGAUAGUGAUGAUGAGGAAU
RNAcentral lists this long non-coding RNA (428 nucleotides) under Capsicum annuum. Its description in RNAcentral is "long non-coding RNA (CANN_LNC005785)". Lineage: Eukaryota; Viridiplantae; Streptophyta; Magnoliopsida; Solanales; Solanaceae. The record is from RNAcentral.